AAUCAACGCUGGCGGCGUGCCUAACACAUGCAAGUCGCACGAGAAAGGGACUUCGGUCCUGAGUACAGUGGCGCACGGGUGAGUAACACGUGAAUCAUCUACCUUCGAGUGGGGAAUAACUGAGAGAAAUCUUAGCUAAUACCGCAUAAUACCUACGGGUCGAAAGACAGCAAUGCGCUUGAAGAGGAGUUCGCGGCAGAUUAGUUAGUUGGCAGGUAAUGGCCUACCAAGACGAUGAUCUGUAUCCGGCCUGAGAGGGCGCACGGACACACUGGAACUGAAACACGGUCC
RNAcentral lists this ribosomal RNA (291 nucleotides) under uncultured bacterium. RNAcentral describes it as "partial 16S ribosomal RNA". It matches the Rfam family "Bacterial small subunit ribosomal RNA", at positions 32 to 332 of the family's 1533-position model. The record is from RNAcentral.